This is a non-coding RNA of Gossypium raimondii (Peruvian cotton), 87 nucleotides long. The record is from Rfam. Lineage: Eukaryota; Viridiplantae; Streptophyta; Magnoliopsida; Malvales; Malvaceae.
CACGUCAGUGCGCUUUGCUGACGUGGACACAAAUCGCGCUUAUGUGGACGCGAUUUGUUGCCACGUCAGCAGAGCGCGCUAAUGUGG